RNAcentral lists this microRNA precursor (156 nucleotides) under Marmota monax (woodchuck). Lineage: Eukaryota; Metazoa; Chordata; Mammalia; Rodentia; Sciuridae. The record is from RNAcentral.
ACCAUUGGUCCACCCGCCUGUUUUGGUACCAGUACCAUGCUGUUUUUGUUACUAUUGCUCUGUAGUAUAGUUUGAAGUCUGGUAUCGNAUACUACAGAGCAAUAGUAACAAAAACAGCAUGGUACUGGUACCAAAACAGGUGGGUGGACCAAUGGU